RNAcentral lists this ribosomal RNA (894 nucleotides) under Crystallibacter crystallopoietes. RNAcentral describes it as "bacterial SSU rRNA". It matches the Rfam family "Bacterial small subunit ribosomal RNA", at positions 542 to 1433 of the family's 1533-position model. The record is from RNAcentral. Lineage: Bacteria; Bacillati; Actinomycetota; Actinomycetes; Micrococcales; Micrococcaceae.
UGUCCGGAAUUAUUGGGCGUAAAGAGCUCGUAGGCGGUUUGUCGCGUCUGCUGUGAAAGCCCGGGGCUCAACCCCGGGUCUGCAGUGGGUACGGGCAGACUAGAGUGCAGUAGGGGAGACUGGAAUUCCUGGUGUAGCGGUGAAAUGCGCAGAUAUCAGGAGGAACACCGAUGGCGAAGGCAGGUCUCUGGGCUGUAACUGACGCUGAGGAGCGAAAGCAUGGGGAGCGAACAGGAUUAGAUACCCUGGUAGUCCAUGCCGUAAACGUUGGGCACUAGGUGUGGGGGACAUUCCACGUUUUCCGCGCCGUAGCUAACGCAUUAAGUGCCCCGCCUGGGGAGUACGGCCGCAAGGCUAAAACUCAAAGGAAUUGACGGGGGCCCGCACAAGCGGCGGAGCAUGCGGAUUAAUUCGAUGCAACGCGAAGAACCUUACCAAGGCUUGACAUGGACCGGACCGCCGCAGAAAUGCGGUUUCCCUUCGGGGCCGGUUUACAGGUGGUGCAUGGUUGUCGUCAGCUCGUGUCGUGAGAUGUUGGGUUAAGUCCCGCAACGAGCGCAACCCUCGUUCUAUGUUGCCAGCGCGUUAUGGCGGGGACUCAUAGGAGACUGCCGGGGUCAACUCGGAGGAAGGUGGGGACGACGUCAAAUCAUCAUGCCCCUUAUGUCUUGGGCUUCACGCAUGCUACAAUGGCCGGUACAAAGGGUUGCGAUACUGUGAGGUGGAGCUAAUCCCAAAAAGCCGGUCUCAGUUCGGAUUGAGGUCUGCAACUCGACCUCAUGAAGUCGGAGUCGCUAGUAAUCGCAGAUCAGCAACGCUGCGGUGAAUACGUUCCCGGGCCUUGUACACACCGCCCGUCAAGUCACGAAAGUUGGUAACACCCGAAGCCGGUGG